GCCCGAGUGGUGAAAUUGGUAGACACAAGAGACUUAAAAUCUCUCGGCCUUGCGGUCGUACCGGUUCGAUUCCGGUCUCGGGCACCA
This 87-nucleotide transfer RNA is filed under the name Alcaligenaceae bacterium SJ-26. RNAcentral describes it as "tRNA-Leu". It matches the Rfam family "tRNA". From Rfam's summary of the family: Transfer RNA (tRNA) molecules are approximately 80 nucleotides in length. The record is from RNAcentral. Lineage: Bacteria; Pseudomonadati; Pseudomonadota; Betaproteobacteria; Burkholderiales; Alcaligenaceae. RNAcentral also lists the same sequence under 1 other name.